RNAcentral lists this long non-coding RNA (14729 nucleotides) under Citrus x clementina. Its description in RNAcentral is "Citrus clementina (C. clementina) long non-coding RNA (CCLE_LNC000416)". The stretch from base 12759 to 12862 matches the Rfam family "Plant small nucleolar RNA R71". Lineage: Eukaryota; Viridiplantae; Streptophyta; Magnoliopsida; Sapindales; Rutaceae. The record is from RNAcentral.
AAGAAAUUAUUCACAAAAAUUAAUUCUAUGAAUUAAAAUUACUUACCUCCCCGGCAACGGCGCCAAAAACUUGUUGUGCAAAUUUUAAUGUACUCGCAAGCGCAUGAAUCUAUUGUAGUAUAGAUCAAUAGUGACGAGUGUCGAUCCCACGAGGAGGUAGAUUUUAAUUGUGUGUAGAAUUAAUUUUGUAAAUGGGUGAUUGGAUUUGUGGUGGAAAUGAUUUGGAAUAUGCUAAAACUUAAAUUAAAAUGGCGAGAAUAAAUUCUAAAAUUGAAAUUGAAAUGGCAAUAAUAAAUUGAAGAGAAUUCUAUUGAAAUGAAGCACUUGGGUAUCCGGAUCCGUAUCAACAUGCAUCAUGGGCUAAAUAAUCCGUAUUAAUGCCAAUUAAAUCAUGAGGGGGGAAUCCACACCUCAUGAACCACGCUCUAAUUAAUAUGGUGCUAAGGACUUAUCGUGCCAAAUAAUAAUAACCUUGUACUAGAGGGCCGGUGAAACCAAGGCGAUACUAGACAAGAUUAGUAUUAUUUGUCGACGAGAAGUCAAAACAUCCACAAAAACUAGAGGGGAAGAGAAAAUAAAUUUACCAAAUAAAGCCCAUGACACAUGUUGAGACUUCACCUUCAAUCCAAGCUUGAAAGAAAAUUAGCCACUCAUAAUUGAACUAGGGGCAAAAUGAUAAUUUAUUAAAAUACGAAGAAAAUACAAGAUGGAGAAGGAGUUACAGAAAAUAAAUUCCAAAAAUGGAUUCGGAGAUAUCAAAUUAGGGGGGGAAGGCCCCCUUUUUAUAGAUACAUAGAGUAAAUCAUGGCCAUCGGAUUAAAAACAGUUUGCACGCUCAGGAUUGCGCCACGUCAUCAGUCAACAGUACGUGGUUUGACCACGCGGAUGAACAGUAACACAGUUUGACCCGAGUUGAACAGUAACGCGGUUUGGUUGAAAAUAAUCCUGUGUGAUGCAUGUACUGUACGCGAGAUUUUUCGUCCACUGAUAUGCUGUCACGUCACCAUCAACAGUACAUAAGAAUUUUAGUCCAAUAGGAUCGUGACACCUCAUCAGUCAAUGCCACAUCAUUAGUCAAUGCCACGUCAUCGAUCCGUCUAUAUGAACAGUGUCGUGAACAGUAACGUAGACAGUACCGUACACGUGAAUAGUACCGUACAUGUGAAUAGUAUCAUUUUUCCUUUUAUGCUCCUCCUAAGGUUUUCGACCGUCUUGAGUUCAAAAGUGAUGUCCGUUUUGCCGUCUGAUCUCUCGUUUAUUGUGAAAUGACUAUAAUGCCCCUAAAAUACAUAAAAUACUUAAUUAAAAUAAAACACAUGUAAUUAAAUCACAAGAAGGUUAAAUACAUAAAAGUAAGGGUUGUUAGUAAGACUUGAAAUGUAAAAUGAUGGUUUUCUCCUUUAUAAAUAUGCAUUUUCUAACACUCAACAGUAGUAUGUUACUGGACCAAAAAAGUGCAUACGGUACAUGCAUAUACACGGAAUGACAACCCGGAUGAUGUGUUCUAUCCAAUCAUAACUUGCCACAUGUCGCAAUCAUGAGCGUCUAAAUUGUUUUAAUACAAUGACCAUGAUUUACUCAUUGUAUCUAUAAAUAGGGAGCUCCCCCCUAAUUUGGCACCCCUGAAUUCAUUUUUGAAAUCUAUUUUCUGUGAUUCCUUCUCCAUCUUGUACUUUCUAUGUAUUCUGUAAUCCCCCCAUUGUACUCCUAAUUCAAUUAUGAGUAGCUAAUUUUCUUUCAAGCUUGGGUUGAAGGCAAAGUCUCAAAAUGUUCUAUGGGCUUAAUUUGGUAAAUUUACUUUCUCUUACCCUCUAAUAUUUGUGGAUAUUUUGAUUUUUUAUCGACAGAUAGUAAUAAUCUUGUCUAGAUAUUGCAUUGGUAUAACCGUCUCCCUAGUGCAAGGUUAUUACUAUUUGACACAAUAAGCACUUAACACCAUAUUUAUUAGAGUGGAUUCAUGAGAAGUGGAACCCCCCUCAUGAUUUAAUUGGCACUAAUAAGAAAUAUUAAGUCCAUGGUGCAUGUUGAGUGCAGAUCCAGAGACCCAAGCACUUCAUUUUAAUAGUUUUCACUUUAAUUUCUUCCCGCCAUUCUAAUUUAAAUUUUAGAAUAGUCUAAAUCACUUUCACCACAAAUCCAACCACCCACUUAGAAAAUUAACUUUACAAGCAAUUAAAAUCCAUCUCCUCAUGGGAUCGAGACUCGUCACCGUUGAUCUAUUAUACAAUAGAUUCGUGCAUUUACGAGUUCAAUAAAAUUUAUAAAACAGUCUCAAGAAGGCCUUUCCAUUUAAAAAAAUCUUAAUAUGCAAAUAAUCGCAAAUUAUACUACCCUCUAAGCCAUGAAUUAUAUUGUCCUCUAGUAGAGGUGGCAAAAAUACCCGCCCGGUCCGGACUCGGACCGUACCCGGGUGUUGCCAGCCCGGAUAUGAAGCCGGGUCGGUCUUGGGCAUCACUUAAUAAACCCGGAACCCAGAUUUUAUUAAAAAAAUUAUAAAAUAUAUAUUAUUUUAAAUAUUUUAUAUUUAUUUGACUCAUUUAUUAUACAUAUAUAAAGUUUUAAACACUUAAGUUUACAUUUUCAUAUCAAAUUUUAUUAAAAUAAAUUUAAAACUUAUAAAAUUACCAAAAAAUAAAAAAUAUAUACACAUAAGGCCCGGACUCGGACCGGUUGCAUCCGGGCAAGGUCCGGUCAUGGCAAUACCCGGACCCGGCCUGGGGUUUUGCCAUCUCUAUCCUCCAGGCACAAAUCAUAUUGCCCUAUGAGCAGUGUGCAAAUUAUACUGCCCUUCGAGGCAUGAAUUAUACUACCCUAUGCGUAGUGUGCAAAUAAGCACAAAUUAUAUUGCACUCCGAGGCAUUAAUUAUACAACCUAUUGUGCAAAUUUUAUUGAACUCGCAAGUGCACGAAUCUAUUGUAGAAUAGAUCAAUGGUGACGAGUGUUGAUCCCAUGAGGAGGUUGAUUUUAAUUAUGUGUAGAGUUAAUUUUCUAAGUGGGUGAUUGGAUUUGUGGUGGAAGUGAUUUAGAUUAUCCUAAAAUUUAAAUUAAAAUAAGGGGAAUUAAUUGAAGUGAAAUCUAUUAAAAUGAAGCAUUUGGGUAUCUGGAUCUGCAUUAACAUGCACCAUGAGCUUAAUAUUCCUUAUUAGUGUCAAUUAAAUCAUGAGGGGGGUUUCCACUCCUCAUGAACCACACUCUAAUCAAUACGGUGCUAAGGGCUUAUCGUGCUAAAUAAUAAAACCUUGCACGAGGCAGCCGUUUAUACCAGUGCAGUGUGUAGACAAGAUUAUUACUAUCUGUAGACGAAAAGUCAAAACAUCCACAAAAAUCAGAGGGGAAGAGAAAGUAAAUUUACCAAAUAAAACCCAUGGAACAUGUUGAGAUUUCAUCUUCAACUGAAGCUUGAAAGAAAAUUAACUACUCAUAAUUGAACUACGGGUAAAAUGAAAAUUUAUUAAAAUACAUAGAAAAUACAAGAUGAAGAAGGGAUUACAGAAAAUGGAGCUAAAAAAUGAAUUUAGGGGUGUGGAAUUAGGGCGAAGCCCCUUUUUUAUAGAUACAACGAGUAAAUCAUGGCCAUUAGAUUAAAAUAAUUUGAAUGCUCAGGAUUGCGCCACAUGGCAAGUUCUGAUCGGAUAGAACACAUCAUUAGGGCUGCCAUUCCAUGUAAUGUAUAUAUCGUAUGCACGUUUUUGGGUCCACUGACAUACUGCCACGUCAUCGGUCAACUCUACAUAAUCAUUUUUGUCCAAUAGGAUCGCGACACAUCAGCGGUCAAUGCCAUAUAAGCAGUCAAUGCCACAUCAUUAGUCCAAUCAAAUGCUGCCACGUCAUCGGUCAAUGCCACGUCAUCGGUCAAUGCCACAUUAUCGUGCCGUAUAUGUGAACAGUCUCGUGAAUAGUAUCAUGAACAAUACCAUAUGUGUGAACAGUACCGUAUAUGUGAGCAGUGUCAUUUAUCAUUUUAUGCUCCUAAGGUUUUUGACUGUCCUGAGUUCAAAAUUGUUGUCUGUUUUGCUAUCUGAUCUCUCGUUCAUUGUGAAAUGACCAUAAUGCCCCCUAAAAUACACAAAAUACAUAAUUAUAAUAAACACACAUAAUUAAAUUACAAGGGACUUAAAUACAUAAAAGUAUGGAUGUUAGUAAGACUUUGGAGUGUAAAAUGACGAUUUUCUCCUUUAUAAAUAUACACUUUCUAAUACUCAACACACCUCCCAACUAGUUUGUUGCUAGUCCUUCGCAAAUAAAGCGAAAAUAAAAUUCAAACCCAUAAUGAUUUUUUUUUUAAAUUGUGUUUAUUUAAUCAGACGAAUGAUAGUAAUCAAAUAAAAAUAUAAGCAUUAUCUCUAGUCUAAAGAAACAUCACCCUCACAUCAACCAUCCACAUGCAUUAGUCCAGCAGGCUUUGUCAUAGCUAUAGUAAUCAAUCCACUUUUAAGAAUGACAUGUCAAAUCUCAAAAUCUCACUGAUAGUAGUGACACUCUCACAAAAAAAUUAAACCCAAUAAAAAUAGUCACUCUAAUGAAUGGUAAAUUGAGAGAAAAUAAUAAAGAAGUAAUAUCACAUACUCUCACCAAGAUGAAAGGAAUAUGCCCAUAGCUUAGAAAUAACAUGAUCUUUAAGUCAAACAAAAUGCUAGUCAAACUAAUGUAUUUUUUUCUCUUUUUUUUAAUUUCUUUUAUGCAUCACUACAUCUUUUUAGCCUAUAUAACUAGCUUCUACUUCAGACUAUAGAUCUGUAAAAUCAAGAAGGACUUUUAUUAGGACGUAGCGUAGGCUAAGGACAUGGCUAACAAAGGAGGGAAAAUAUGGAAAACAAAAUAUAUGUUUGAGAAAAAGUAGAGAUCUUUUGGAAAUUACGGUGCAUUUUGCUUAUUUAUUAUUAUUAUUUUUUUCUUUUUCUCUUUUUCUCUUUUUUUUGAAACAACUUUUUUUGUAUGGCACAACUUUACUGAACAAAAUAAUUAUUUACAUUUUUCUCAAACAUAAAUAGGUGAUGAAACUUGUAAGACAUCGGGUGAUAUUCCAAAUCGGAGUGGGUCAAGAUGAUAAGUUGACAAAGAAAAAAAAAUUUAUAUGAAAGAUUCAAAAGAGUUGAUUAUAGAUAUUUCACAAAAGGGAUGGUUAGAAAGGUUCAAACAAGUCAAAUAUGACAUUUCCAUCGACUUUUAGGGCUUUAAAUAAUCUUCCAUAUCUGCUAGUUAGAUGGACCUUCAGAUGUAGCAACACAUUUUUUUUUCUUUUUUAAAAAUUUUAUUUAACCUUUUUUUUUGAGGAUUAACUCAAAGGAAAUCUAGAGAUCAUGUAUAAUAUAAUAAACUGAUAAGCUGUAUGAAGAAUGGGCAAAAAGGGUUACUCUCCAAGAAAAAUUACAGGCUUAAAAACUCAUUUGGUAUUCAUUAUGACAUGUGCAUUCUUUCAAGCAACUCAUAUUUGUCUCCGACAUCAACAUGUAGAGUAACAAACAUGGCGUAACAUCAUUUAAGACCAAAGAUAAUACAAAUACUAAAAUUUAAAAGUCAUCAUGUCAUUCAAUGUUAAAAAAAAAUCACAAUUUUUUUUUGUUCAAACAACAUUCUACCCCCCAACCUAUUCUAAACAUGAAAAGAAAAUAUGCAUGCAUAAAGGUGAAAAUGAUGCAGAAAAACUAAUUAGAAAUGUUACACUUAAAAUGAUAGAAAAAGAAAAUGUCUAAAAAUUUUUUUUUAACUAAGAAGAUGCGUUUCUAGAGUCCCUGCACUUCAUAUUCAGCCAUCUUCGACUCAAAAAUUUGAAAGUGUAUAUUUAUGAAGGAGAAAUUAGAAAGAAGAAGUUAUAAAAUAAAAAAAUUAUUGUCAAAGCUUAAUAAAGAAAAAGAAAAUGUCUGGAUUUUUUUUUUGUUUUUACUUCCAAACUAAGAAGAUGUGUUUCUAGAGUCACUACACUCCAUAUUCAGCCAUCUUCGACUCAAAAAGUUAGCCACGAUUAGUCUCUACAACAAAAAAUCAAUAAAAACUUAACCAAGAUUGAGACAUUCCAUAAUUGUCAGCUAUUCCCUCCCCCUAACCAGAACGAAAUAUUAUCCUCAAUGUUUUAAAAGAAAGAAAUAGAGUUUAGAAGACAUCACCUCGGUGUUGCAACAUAGAAGAAAAUACUUACAAGCGGAGAGUUAAAUCUAAUUUGCACUUCUUACUGUGGCUACUAUUACCAUUAUUAUUUGGAUGCUCCAACACAAAAGUCCUGAGGUCUAGCUCUAGUCUAUAGACUUAUAACAGAUCAAGUAGCACAUUAGCAGUGUAAGCACAAAUAAAAAUAUUUUUCGCUGUGGAAGGAAUGAAAUAGUUUUUUAUUACAUGGUUAAGAAAUGUGAUAAAGUCAUCAUAAAAGUUAUUGAUAUUUAACAAAUCGAUGGGUUUCUGAUGAAUGUUCAGAUGGGUCCAAGAUGCUAAUGUAAUUAGUGCCUCCAGAGUUGCAAGAUCUCUUGGUAGGAAAAAAAAAUUAGCAUGAUUUAUUAUUUCAGUUAUUCUCUCUUACAUACCUAAGACGACUAACUCUUCUCUAGUUGGUGAGUCAGACAAACAGCCCAAAGGUUUUAGGUUUCUUGGGAUGAUGCCUAACACUUGGCUCCCUCUGACAUAAGCAGUUUCUAAGACUAAUUUUGAUAACCCUCGGUCACCUCCUCCAUAUACCAAUUGUAAUUUCCUUGCUGUUAUACUUUGAUCAAGAUCUAUGGCUGUCUCAACAAACUCUUUAUAUUUGUCAUAGUUAAACCAAGGGAGCACAUAAAUGUUCUUGAAUUGUUUAUUGGGAGUAGCUGCAAUUGGGAUAAUUCUAAAAACUAAUUUUUGAGUGCUUUAAAAAUUUCAUAUUUAAGGAUCUUGGUGACAGUGGGUCACAGUUAUGUGUGAGGUAGCAUGUUUUUGUCAAUUAACGCGUAAAGCACAUGGCUCGAGAGUAAAAAAAGAAACAGUAAAAAGGAAAAAACAAACAAUGAUAAAAUAAAAUUAUUAAAGACAAUAAUGCAAAUAAUAAAAUAACAGUGAAGUAAAAUGAUAUUUACAAGUAGUUGUGACUGUGGCUCACAUCUUCCUCUAGUUUUACGUCUAGAAACGGCUUGAACGCCCUCUAUGAGUCGAGGAUAGGCUUCCCAUCCAGUUUUCUUAUAAACUGGCAAACAGGGUUGUUUAUAGUUAGAUUCCCGAGACUAUAUCGUUCAUACUCUUUUUGGAAUAAUGGCCAUAAUUGGAGAAUUGCUCCUUGUACGUAUCCACUGGGAUGCGUUUCAAGAGACAAAAGGAUAUCAUCCAAUGACUCCUUAUUCAAGCCAUUCCUAAUGAAUUGAAUCUUGUCUUCCCUGUUAUCAGACACCAUUCCUAAAGAACAUGGAUUUUUUUUUGCAUCUCAUUCUGGCAUACUUAUGACAAGCAACAGAAAGUUUUUGAGCUAUUCUUUUUCUUGCAUAACUUCCUUUACCACAACCAGGCAUGUAUGCAAUAAAUUUAGGAGGCAACUCACCUACCAAUCAUACUUUGGUCUCGAUAACCAGCAGAUGUCAGCAGGUAUGUUAUUCCUCAUAAGUAAUCGCAUGCAUUCGGAUCGAGCUUUAUAGAUUGUAAGGAGGGCAUUCUGAGGAAGUGAAGGAAAUCUAUUGUGAAGCUUUACUAAAAUCUCAUUUCUAUCCGUACUUUCGCCUUAAAAUAUCAGUUAUUAUGGGAAACUAAAGUAACCGACUUGAUUAUCACGGAGUAUCGUUAUCCGCCACUUAACUGGGGUAACAAACUAAAGCACACAAACAAAGUAACAAACUAAAACAUACAAAGAAAAUUACAAUCGUCCUCUUAUUGAAUUUACCUUAAGCUCCAACUAGAUGUCGUAGAUACCUCCCUCAAUUUCUCUGAGUUGUUUUUCUAAAGCCUCAACAUUGGAUACUAACUCUAGUGGUUGUAGAUUCCAAAUAUGAUAUAUUUUACAAAAUUGAAUCUGGCUUCUGAGAUGAUAUUUUACACAUUGAAGUUGUCUAAGAAGGUCUAAGAGGAUCUGUCUAGCUGAAGCACUCAUGAUUAACAAUGAUAAAAGAAAACUUACUGGUUAAACAAUUACACUUAUGCAAAAAUAAUUUCAAUUAGCAAAAGAAUAGUAAAAAGAAAAAAAGAAAAAAAAUCAAAUCAAAUCAUCGAAAAGAAAGAAAAAUCUCAAUUCAAAUUUGGUGGGUCACUUAAAUUUAUUUCGGUAUCCUUUCCUUGUGGUUGGUACUCUAGAUAUGGCUUUAAUCUUUAACUAUUAACUUUAAAAGUGACACCAUUCUUUGGAUCCUUAAUUUCAAUUACUCCAUGUGGAAAAACAAUAUGAACAAUAAAAGGGCUAGACCAUCAAGAGCAUAACUUACCUAGGAAUAAAUGCAAGCGAGAAUUGAAUAAAAACACUUUUUGACCUAGGGUGAAAGAUUUUCUCAAAAUUUGCUUGUCAUGAAAGACUUUCAUUGGCUGCUUGUAAAUCUUGGCAGUUUCGUAUGCAUCAUUGUAAAUUUCUUCAAGUUCUGCCAGCUGUAAUCUUCUUUCUGAGCUAGCUUGCUGCAUGUCAAAGUUAAAUUUCUUAAUGGCCCAGUACACACGAUGUUUGAGUUCUAUAGGUAAGUGGCAAGCUUUUCCAUACACUAACCUGUAGAGUGACAUCUCAAUCGAGGUCUUGAAAGUCGUUCUAUAUGUCUAUAAUGCAUCAUCGAGUCUCAAUGACCAAUCUUUUCUGUCUGGCCUCACCGUCUUUUCUAAUAUGUGCUUUAUUUCUCGAUUGGAGAUCUUGCCACUUUGUGAGUGAUGGAAUCAAAAGAGCUUUGAAUGAUUUUUUACAAACGUGGGCACCACCAUAACUGAUUAUUGCUCGAGGGAAUCCAAAGCGUGAAACAAUGUUGCUUUUCGAAAAUCUUAUCACUACCUUGUGAUCAUUGAUUCUACAUAGAAUUGCUUCUACCCAUUUCGAUGCGUAGUCAACAGCAAUCAAUAUGUAUUGAUGGCCAAAAUAAUGGGGAAAUGGUCCCAUGAAGUCGAUAGUGGCAUUAUAUUCCUUCGUGUAAUGCUCCUCAUUUGACACCUAUCACAUGAAAGCAAAAAGUGUAAGCAUCUCGAAAUACAGUUGGCCAAUAGAAACCACAUUGUAAAACUUUAAUAGCUGUUUUCUUAGAUCUGAAAUGGCCUCCACAAGCUUGUUCAUGGCAGAAUGAAAGGAUAUUUAGAAAUUCACUUUCUAGGACACAUCCUCUGAUAAUUUGAUAUGUACAAUACUUGAACAGAUAAGGAUCAUCCCAAAAGGAAUUCUUUAUUUUCAUAAAAAAAUUGGCUUUGUCCUGCUUAGUCCAAUGCUUUGGAAGUUGACCUAUAACAAGAUAAUUAAUUAUAUCAGCAUACCAUGGUAAUACUUCCACACUCAUCAAUUGUUCAUCUAGAAAUGACUCAUUCAAUGUUAAUGGUUCUGUAAUUGUGUCAAAUUGAGACGAGAGAGAUGGUCAGUUACAACAUUUUAUGUGCCUUUUUUAUCUUUUUGAAUUUUCAAGUCAAAUUCCUACAAAAGUAACAUCUAACGAAUUGGUCUAGCUUUUGUAUCUUUCUUUGUGAGAAGAUAUUUAAGAGCAGCAUGAUCUGUGAAUACAAUUAUUUUACAACCAAUGAGAUAAGAUUAAAAUUUCUCUAAUGCAAACACUACUGCUAGCAUUUCUUUUUCAGUGGUUGAAUAGUUCAACUGUGCAUCAUUCAAUGUCAUAUUAUCAUAGUAAAUAAAAUGGGGAAUUCAAUCAAGUAUUUAUCCUAAUACUGCUCCCACUACAUAAUCAGAUGCAUCACACAUGAGCUCAAAUGGUAAGUUCCAGUUUGGGGGCUGAAUGAUGGGUGAUGAUGUCAACAACUGCUUUAGUUUUUCAAAUGCCACAAGAAAUGAAUCAUCAAAGAUAAAAGGUACAUCCUUAGCAAGUAGAUUGCAUAAGGGUCUAGAAACUUUGCUAAAAUAUUUAAUGAAACGUCUAUAAAAACCAGCAUGCCCAAGGAAAGAUCUUACUUCUCUUACUGUUUUAGGUGGAGGAAGAUUGGAAAUGAGAUAUACCUUGACUUUAUCAACCUCAAUACCUCUGCUCGAAAUAAUGUGACUGAGAACAAUACCUUAUUUUACCAUAAAAUGGUACUUCUCCCAAUUUAAGACCAAGUUCUUCUCUAUACAUAUUUGCAGAACUAGUGUUAGAUAAUGUAAACAUUGAUCGGAUGAAUCACCAAAAAUAGAAAAUUCAUCCAUAAAGACUUUAAGGAAUCGUUAAACCAUAUCAGAAAAAUACUUAACAUGCAUCGUUGAAAUGUAGUCGGUGCAUUACAUAAUCUAAAUGACAUUCUCCUAUGUGCAAAAGUGCGAAAAGGGCAAGUGAAAGUGGUCUUCUCUUGAUCUUUUAGUACUAGGGAAUCUAAUUAUACCCUGUGUAGCCGUUUAGAAAGCAAUAAAAUUCAUGACAUGCUAAUCUAUCAAGCAUUUGAUCGAUAAAUGGUAAAAGAAAAUAGUCUUUACGUGUGACAGAAUUCAACUUUCUAUAAUCAAUGCAUACAGGCCACCCUGUAGUCACUCUAGUGGGUAUCAAUUCAUUAUCAGCAUUGGUAACUACUGUGACUCCUGACUUUUUAGGGACAAUUGAACAGGACUGGCCCAUGAACUAUUAGAAAUUGGGUAAAUGGUACUUGUGUCUAAUAGUUUAAGGACUUCAAUUCUAACAACUUCUUUUAUGUUAGGAUUUAAUCGACGUUGCAUUUCCUAGUAGGUUUAACAUUUUCAUCAAGGUGAAUGUAAUGCAUGCAGUCUACUGGGUUUAUACAUUUUAUGUCGGCGAUGGUCUAUUUUAAUGCUCAUUUGUGCUCUUUUAAAAAUUCCAACAACUAAUGUUUUUGUUCGUCAUUUAAGGUUGAUGAGAUGAUUACUGGUAGAGUGUUUUCUUCUCCCAAGAACGCAUAUUCCAAAGUGUUGGGUAAUGGUUUGAGCUUGAAUUUUGGUGGGGAUUCUGAUGAUGGGCUGGGUUUCUUUCCUGAUGGUGCUAGUUGUUCAACUCUUAACUUUCAUUUAUUAGUAUCCAUGGAUGGUGCUAAGUCAAGUAGGGCAUUGACCUCAUCGACUUAUCUGGCAAUAUCAAAAUCCAAACCAAAGUAAGUUAAACAUGUUUGUAAAUGGUCAUACUAAGGUUUGAAAGAAAAGUAUCAUCAACUAUUUCUUCUAUUAAAUUCACAUCAACAAUUUCAUCAUCUGCAUUGUAAGGUUGUUUGGCAAUGUUGAAAAUAUUUAGCUCCAUAGUCAUGUUGCCAAAGGAGAACUGCAUAUUUCCAAUCCUGCAUUGAAUGUGAGAAUCGGCAGUUGCCAAGAAAGGUCGGCCUAGGAUAAUGGAAAUGUGCUUCCUUGAAUCCUGGACUGAUUGAGUGUCAAUUACAAUGAAAUCAAUAGGAAAAUAAAACUUGUAUACUUGGAUAAGCACGUCCUCCACAAUACCACGAGGGAUUUUCAUGAAUCGAUCUGCAAGUUGUAACACCACUGGAGUUGGAUGUAAUUCUCCCAGUCCAAGUUUCAUAAAUACUAAGUAGGGUAACAGAUUUACACUAGCUCUUAAAUCUAACAAAACAUUCUCAAUUGUAUGGUUCCCUAUACUACACAAGAUAAGGGGGGAGCCUGGGUCUUUGUAUUUUAGAGGAAUUUUUUGUUGGAGUAUAGAACUAACGUUUUCUAUUAAAAAGGCCUUCUUUUGAACGUGAAUGUUUCUCUUUUUAAUAUAAAAGUGUUUAAGAAACUAGGCAUAAGAUGAGACUUGUUUUAUAGCAUCAAGCAAAGUGAUGUUAACACUUACCUGUUUGAAGAUUUAAAAAAUCUCACUUGUGGAUUUUUCCUUCUUUUCUUUUGCUAACCUCUGAGGAAAAUGAGCUUUAGGCACGUAUUCUCGUGGGUUGGUUUCUUCUUUCUCCUCUGAUGAUGAAUCCUCGGCAUUCACAGGUACAAUUUGAGUUGUUUUUGUCACCAGCAUCUUUACUUUGUUGUCGACUUCUUUUCCUUUUCGCAAGGUUUUGACGACUUUGACCUCUCUAUGUUGUUGUGGUGAACAGGUAUUUACUUCAUGCACUCCUUUAAGAUUAGGCACUGAUUGACUUGGGAAUUUGCCUUUCUCAACAAUUAUUGCCAAAGUUUGAAUUGAAGAAGCAAGUUGUCCCACUAUCUUCUCGAGGUUUGAAACUGAUUGGGCUUGUGAGUUGAAGCCUACUCUCAUCUCAUUUCGUAGUUCAUUAAUGGUGCGAUUAUGUUGCUCGAUCAUGGAGUGAGUAAAAUUCUUGAAAUUCUGGAAUGCAUCCUCCCAUAGUCUGGAUUGAGAGAAAUUCAGGUUCUGAUUGUAUGGUCUAAAUAGUGGCUGAGAGGCUUAAGGAACUUGAGAAAUUGGUUGCAUUGGUGGAGCUGGAGCUGCUGGUCCAUUCUGUUGGAAUCCUUAAGACCAUGAAAAAUUGGGAUGGUCUCUCCAUCCAGGAAAUACCUUCAACCAUCUUUUUGACUUAUUUAAUUUCAGAACUUGACUCGCCAAUGUGAAUCUCAUUCACUCCCUUAAUUCUAUUAACAUUCCUGAGUGAUCGACUCCGUUGUUAGGAAUUAUCCGCUUGUCGCUAGAAGAAAUCCCAAAUCUCUGAUGCAUUUUUUGACAUUAGCUCUCCUUUACUUGUUUUAAUUAGUCAUUCUUACACAUGCGGCAAUAAUCCCUCCAAAAAGUAUUGGCAUUGGUGCCAUUUCUCGUACCCAUGAUGUGGACACUUCAAGAGUAGCCCAUUGAAUCGCUCCCAUGCUUCGAAAAAUUGCUCGUCUUUUCUCUGGAUAAACUCUGAAAUUUCCCUGCGAAUAGCAUUGGUUUUAUGCACUAGGAAGUGUUUAUUCAAAAAAUUUGUUACCAUUUGUUCCCAUGAUGUAAUGCUAUUAGCAGGUAAUGUAUUGAACCAUGAACGAGCUCUAUCCUCUAAAGAAAAUGGGAAUAAUCUAAGUUUAACAUCAUCAUCUGAAAAAUUCUCAUAUUUAAAAAUUUGACAAACUGAAUGAAAAUCAUUCAGAUGAUUAUAUGGGUCUUCAUUUUCUAGGCUAUAGAAUGUUGGGAGACAAUUUAGCACACUAGGUUUUAACUCAAAACUCCUAGCAGCUACAUUUGGGUAUCUUAUACAUCAUGUGCUCAAAUUAGCUAAGAGACUGAAGUAGUCCUUAAAUGGCCUCUCAUGUGGUGCUGGUUUUGGUUGUUGUUGCAAAUCCAUUUCACUUUUAUCUUUAAUUACAACGUGUAUGUGUGUGCGAAGUGCUUUUUCCAAUUCAAACCUUAUCACUUUUAUCUUCGACCAUGCAUGCAAAUAAUACAAAAAGAAAUGAGAACAAAAUUAAUAAAAAUUAAGAAGAAUGAGAAAUUACGAUACUAACCUUAUCACGUUGUUACAACCUUGCAAUGAAAACACACUAAAAAAAUAAGUGAAAUAAAUUAACUAAAAUUAAAAUAAAUUAAUAAGAUAAACAAAAAAAUUACAAAGAAAAAUAGCUUGAAAAUUAAAUUACAGAACUUUAAAGAAGAGAGAAAAAAUAAAAGAAAUUCUUACCUCAAAAUUGAAGAUUCACUUUUUUUUAAAUAAAAAAAAAUUACAAUGAAACAAACUUUAUUGAACUCACAAGUGCACGAAUCUAUUGUAGAAUAGAUCAAUGGUGACGCGUGUCGAUCUCAUGAAGGAUGUGGAUUUUAAUUAUGUGUAGAGUUAAUUUUCUAAGUGGGUGAUUGGAUUUGUAGUGGAAGUGAUUUAAAUUAUCUUAAAAUUUAAAUUAAAAUGGCGUGAAUAAAUUGAAGUGAAAUCUAUUAAAAUGAAGCACUUGGGUAUCUGGAUCUGCAUCAGCAUGCACCAUGGGCUUAAUAUUCCUUAUUAGUACCAAUUAAAUCAUGAGGGAGAUUUUCACUCCUCAUGAACCACACUCUAAUCAAUAUGGUGCUAACGGCUUAUCGUGCCUAAUAUUAAUAACCUUGCACUAGGGAGCUGACUAUACCAGUGCGGUAUCUAGAUAAGAUUAUUACUAUUUAUCGACAAAACGUCAAAACAUCCACAAAAAUCAGAGGGAAAAAGAAAGUAAAUUUACCAAAUAAAGCCCAUGAAACAUGUUGAGACUUCACCUUCAACGCAAGCUUGAAAGAUAACUAGCUACUCAUAAUUGAACUAGGGGUAAAAUGAAAAUUUAUUAAAAUACGUAAAAAAUACAAGAUGGAGAAGGAAAUACAGAAAAUGGAUCUAAAAAAUGAAUUUCGGGGUGUCGAAUUGGGGGGGAGCCCCCUUUUGUACAUACAAUGAGUAAAUCAUAGCCAUCAGAUUAAAACAAUUUGGACGCUCAGAAUUGCGCCACGUGGCAAGUUCUAAUUAGAUAGAACACAUCAUCAGGGCUGUCAUUCCAUGUAAUGCAUGUAUCGUAUGCACGUUUUUUGAUCCACUGACAAACUGCCACGUAGGCUUGGCAAAAUCUGGGUCCAAUUCGGGUUUUGGUGUUGCCCAGGACCAGACCGGAUGAGUGAAACUCAAGACCGGACCCGGGUUAAAACACGAUUUUUUCGAGUGCGGUCCGGGCUCAAGCCCAGCACUCGUUAGGCCUGGGUUUUUUAUCCGGAUUUCUAAGCCCGCAUGUGAUAAAUUCAAUUUUUUUCUUCAAUUUUUUCUUUCAUUUCUCUAACAAUGCAAAUUUUUAAAAAAGAAAAUA